CAGCAGGACCACAUCUAGCUGCUAUCUAGAAGUCCACUGAAGAGUCCCUGAAAGGAAAUAGCAAUUCUUCCCUGUCCAGCAACUACCAGAUAUUCUUCCUCUGAGAACAACACGACCUCUACUUUGUCAAUAUAGUCUUUUUGUGCACCUGAGAGACAUCAGACCCAGAAGAAAAAGUGGAGGGAGAAGGAACUUCAGAACUCACUAGAAAAGGGACUUCUGAAACUCCAGACCAUGCAAAGUUGACUAUAUAGAAGGAUUUUUUAUAUGUGUCACUGGCUAACCUUGGUCAUGGACAGGUUAUAAGCCAUGACCAUCCACUGCAUCCUGAGUCAUCGCCGGUCUUCUUGGUUUUCGUCUUGCUACCGGACUUGGAUGAUGACUCUGAGAGAGAGUGAAGCUGAAGGACUUUGUGCAACUCUGCCUCACUUACAUCCGAUUUAUGCAUGAGUCAAGAGACCUCACCAGCAAUGGUCCUCCACCAGAUUUGGUCCUCCCCGAGGACGAAAGACCACAACUAACCAAGCAACCAUUUACUAAAUGCCUACUAUAUACCAGGAAAUCUCAAGACUCAAAAAAGAAGAGAGAAUGACUCCAAGCAAAACAUCUACAAGCAAAACCUCAAAGAAAAAUACAGCUUGGAGGAAAAAAUUCAACUAAAAUUUUUGGAAGAGAUGAAGCAAGAGUUUUUUUUUUAUUUUAAUUCAUAGAAUGGAAGCACUUGAAGAAAAAAAUGGAAAAGAAGUUAGAGCUAUGGGAGAAGGAAUUGGAAAGGGAACUAACAGCUUGGCACAAGAGGAACAAAACCUUACAACAAACACCCUGAAAAUUAGAAUGUAUCAAAGAGAAGCUUCUUGACUACAUGAAGCCACAAUAAAUUUCAAAAUGAUGUCA
This 894-nucleotide long non-coding RNA is filed under the name Monodelphis domestica (gray short-tailed opossum). RNAcentral's name for it is "lncRNA (ENSMODG00000051207.1)". Lineage: Eukaryota; Metazoa; Chordata; Mammalia; Didelphimorphia; Didelphidae. The record is from RNAcentral.